AGAAACCCGAUUGAACUCAUUUUUGUCCAAAGCGCAAAAUAAGGCAUUCAUAGCCUUUGCGUUUAAAGAAAAAUACUUCUUCUCUAAAUCCGACCAUUCGUUCAUCGGUUUAGAGGGAAGUUGAAAACCGUUUUCAACGAUAUUCCAUAAAUCCAGAUUUAGAGAAAUCAAGAAAACUCUCAUUCGAGUUUUCCAAUAAGUGUAGUCCAAUCCGUUAAAGAACGGUGGACGAAAGACCGAAAAGCCCUCUUGAAGAGCCAUAUCUCUCGGGUGUAAAUCCGAAAUGAGAAAUACCCCGC
This 299-nucleotide long non-coding RNA is filed under the name Musa acuminata (dwarf banana). Its description in RNAcentral is "long non-coding RNA (MACU_LNC011483)". Lineage: Eukaryota; Viridiplantae; Streptophyta; Magnoliopsida; Zingiberales; Musaceae. The record is from RNAcentral.